GGGUGAGUAACACGUGGGUAAUCUACCCUUUGGUGUGGAAUAACCCUGGGAAACCGGGGCUAAUACCGCAUAAGUCCGAGAGGAGAAAGCAGCAAUGCGCCGAAGGAGGAGCCCGCGGCCGAUUAGCUAGUUGGUAGGGUAAAAGCCUACCAAGGCAAAGAUCGGUAGCCGGCCUGAGAGGGCACACGGCCACACUGGCACUGAAACACGGGCCAGACUCCUACGGGAGGCAGCAGUGGGGAAUCUUGCACAAUGGGGGAAACCCUGAUGCAGCGACGCCGCGUGAGCGAUGAAGCCCUUCGGGGUGUAAAGCUCUUUCGGCAGGGAAGAUGAUGACGGUACCUGCAGAAGCAGCUGCGGCUAACUACGUGCCAGCAGCCGCGGUAAUACGUAGGCAGCAAGCGUUGUUCGGAGUUACUGGGCGCAAAGGGUGUGUAGGCGGUUUGGUAAGUCUGGUGUGAAAUCUCCCGGCUCAACUGGGAGGGUGCGCCGGAAACUGCCGGACUCGAGUGCGGGAGAGGAGAGUGGAAUUCCUGGUGUAGCGGUGAAAUGCGUAGAUAUCAGGAGGAACACCGGUGGUGUAGACGGCUCUCUGGACCGUAACUGACGCUGAAACACGAAAGCGUGGGUAGCAAACAGGAUUAGAUACCCUGGUAGUCCACGCCCUAAACGAUGCAUAUUUGGUGUGGGUCAUUCAGUUGAUCCGUGCCGGAGCUAACGCGUUAAAUAUGCCGCCUGGGGAGUACAGUCGCAAGGCUGAAACUCAAAGGAAUUGACGGGGGCCCGCACAAGCGGUGGAGCAUGUGGUUCAAUUCGACGC
This 820-nucleotide ribosomal RNA is filed under the name uncultured Acidobacteriota bacterium. RNAcentral's name for it is "bacterial SSU rRNA". It matches the Rfam family "Bacterial small subunit ribosomal RNA", at positions 104 to 957 of the family's 1533-position model. Lineage: Bacteria; Pseudomonadati; Acidobacteriota. The record is from RNAcentral.